Molecule: ribosomal RNA, 269 nt
Filed under: uncultured bacterium
Lineage: Bacteria
Description: partial 16S ribosomal RNA
Rfam family: Bacterial small subunit ribosomal RNA
Source: RNAcentral
CGGCGACCGGCGCACGGGUGAGUAACACGUAUGCGACCUGCCCGUAGCAGGGGGAUAAGCGGAAGAAAUUCCGUCUAAUACCGCGUAAUAUCUUUCGGGGGCAUUCCUGAGGGAUUAAAGGAAGCGAUUCCGGCUACGGAUGGGCAUGCGGCACAUUAGCUAGUCGGCGGGGUAACGGCCCACCGAGGCGACGAUGCGUAGGGGUUCUGAGAGGAAGGUCCCCCACACUGGUACUGAGACACGGACCAGACUCCUACGGGAGGCAGCAG